GACGAACGCUGGCGGCGUGCUUAACACAUGCAAGUCGAACGGAAAGGCCCUGCUUUUGUGGGGUGCUCGAGUGGCGAACGGGUGAGUAACACGUGAGUAACCUGCCCUUGACUUUGGGAUAACUUCAGGAAAAUGGGGCUAAUACCGGAUAGGAGCUCCUGCUGCAUGGUGGGGGUUGGAAAGUUUCGGCGGUUGGGGAUGGACUCGCGGCUUAUCAGCUUGUUGGUGGGGAAGUGGCUUACCAAGGCUUUGACGGGUAGCCGGCCUGAGAGGGUGACCGGCCACAUUGGGACUGCGAUCCGGCCCAGCCUCCUACGGGUGGCAGCAGUGGGGCAUAUUGCACAAUGGGCGGAAGCCUGAUGCAGCAACGCCGCGUGCGGGAUGACGGCCUUCGGGUUGUAAACCGCUUUCGCCUGUGACGAAGCGUGAGUGACGGUAAUGGGUAAAGAAGCACCGGCUAACUACGUG
RNAcentral lists this ribosomal RNA (468 nucleotides) under uncultured bacterium. RNAcentral's name for it is "partial 16S ribosomal RNA". It matches the Rfam family "Bacterial small subunit ribosomal RNA", at positions 28 to 507 of the family's 1533-position model. The record is from RNAcentral.